AAGUGGAGCAAUCCCUGAGUAAAGUGGCGACCGGGUGAGUAACACGUGACUAACCUACCUUCGAGUGGGGGAUAACCUAGGGAAACCUGGGCUAAUACCGCAUAACAUCUUUGGAGUUGAAAUUCUGGAGAUCAAAAGAGCAAUUUGCUUGAAGAGGGGGUCGCGGCUGAUUAGCUAGUUGGCGGGGUAAUGGCCCACCAAGGCUUUGAUCGGUAGCCGGCCUGAGAGGGCGCACGGCCACACUGGAACUGAAACACGGUCCAGACUCCUACGGGAGGCAGCAGUGGGGAAUUUUGCGCAAUGGGGGAAACCCUGACGCAGCAACGCCGCGUGGAGGAUGAAGUCCCUUGGG
RNAcentral lists this ribosomal RNA (352 nucleotides) under uncultured bacterium. Its description in RNAcentral is "bacterial SSU rRNA". It matches the Rfam family "Bacterial small subunit ribosomal RNA", at positions 72 to 422 of the family's 1533-position model. The record is from RNAcentral.